ACGGGUGAGUAACGCGUGGGAACGUGCCUUCCGGUUCGGAAUAACCCUGGGAAACUAGGGCUAAUACCGGAUACGCCCUUAUGGGGAAAGGUUUACUGCCGGAAGAUCGGCCCGCGUCUGAUUAGCUAGUUGGUGGGGUAACGGCCUACCAAGGCGACGAUCAGUAGCUGGUCUGAGAGGAUGAUCAGCCACACUGGGACUGAGACACGGCCCAGACUCCUACGGGAGGCAGCAGUGGGGAAUAUUGGACAAUGGGCGCAAGCCUGAUCCAGCCAUGCCGCGUGAGUGAUGAAGGCCUUAGGGUUGUAAAGCUCUUUUAUCCGGGACGAUAAUGACGGUACCGGAGGAAUAAGCCCCGGCUAACUUCGUGCCAGCAGCCGCGGUAAUACGAAGGGGGCUAGCGUUGCUCGGAAUCACUGGGCGUAAAGGGCGCGUAGGCGGCGUUUUAAGUCGGGGGUGAAAGCCUGUGGCUCAACCACAGAAUGGCCUUCGCUACUGGGACGCUUGAGUAUGGUAGAGGUUGGUGGAACUGCGAGUGUAGAGGUGAAAUUCGUAGA
RNAcentral lists this ribosomal RNA (557 nucleotides) under uncultured Methylobacterium sp. RNAcentral's name for it is "bacterial SSU rRNA". It matches the Rfam family "Bacterial small subunit ribosomal RNA", at positions 102 to 694 of the family's 1533-position model. The record is from RNAcentral. Lineage: Bacteria; Pseudomonadati; Pseudomonadota; Alphaproteobacteria; Hyphomicrobiales; Methylobacteriaceae.